This is a long non-coding RNA of Homalodisca vitripennis (glassy-winged sharpshooter), 331 nucleotides long. RefSeq lists it as uncharacterized. NCBI's taxonomy places the organism in Eukaryota, Metazoa, Arthropoda, Insecta, Hemiptera, Cicadellidae. The transcript has 2 exons. The record is from RefSeq and is a predicted model, not a curated record.
AUUAGCGUACUUCUGAUUUCAUUUCCUUCUGUGUACGGGGCUUGACCGGACAUGUCGGAGGGCCGGCCCUUAGCUCCGCCGAGACGGAGAAUAUGGAGAUUCGACUACUGUAUAUCGAAAGCGGACUACUAAAUGAGCCAAAUUUGACAAUACCAAUUUCUGUACUAAGUGGCAAUAAGUAUUGACUUCACUAUGUUUGAGCUAUCAACAGAAUCUGUGUGAUUAUGUUACCCUUACUCAGAGCAAUGCUGUGAAGUAUUUGGGACUCCACAUUGUUGAAAACCUUCUGUGGAAAGUACAUGUAAAAACAAUUAAAACAUAUUUGCUUGCA